This 306-nucleotide long non-coding RNA is filed under the name Physcomitrium patens. RNAcentral's name for it is "long non-coding RNA (PPAT_LNC003466)". The record is from RNAcentral. Lineage: Eukaryota; Viridiplantae; Streptophyta; Bryopsida; Funariales; Funariaceae.
AGAUGAUUGAAUAUGCCAAGCGCAUGUAAAAACUUGUAUUAAUUUAAUGGUAUAGAUAAUGGAUAUUUGAUCAUAAGUGUAAAGAGGUAUGAGAAGUUGGCAGAUUGAGGUUGUUUAGGGUUUCUGCGAUAUCUGGAGUUCUACUAGCUAGAAUAAGGUGAAUUUUGGCAUAGUAAGUCUAGGAUUUAAAGAAGGAGCUGCAUACAAAGUUUGAAUGAGAAUUAAUGAUUGGAGAAGAAAAAAUUGUAAUUCAAAGUUCAUCAUCAACUUUCUAGGCAACAGUCAAGAGAUACUAGUGUGGAUUUA